This 494-nucleotide ribosomal RNA is filed under the name uncultured bacterium. RNAcentral describes it as "partial 16S ribosomal RNA". It matches the Rfam family "Bacterial small subunit ribosomal RNA", at positions 28 to 507 of the family's 1533-position model. The record is from RNAcentral.
GACGAACGCUGGCGGCGUGCUUAACACAUGCAAGUCGAACGGUGAAGCGCCUUCCUUUUUGGUGGGUGUGGAUGAGUGGCGAACGGGUGAGUAACACGUGAGUAACCUGCCCCCUUCUUCUGGAUAACCGCAUGAAAGUGUGGCUAAUACGGGAUAUUCUGGGUCUGUCGCAUGAUGGGUCUGGGAAAGAUAUUGUUUCGGUGGGGGAUGGGCUCGCGGCCUAUCAGCUUGUUGGUGGGGUGAUGGCCUACCAAGGCGGUGACGGGUAGCCGGCCUGAGAGGGUGGACGGUCACACUGGGACUGAGACACGGCCCAGACUCCUACGGGAGGCAGCAGUGAGGAAUAUUGCACAAUGGGCGCAAGCCUGAUGCAGCGACGCCGCGUGAGGGAUGGAGGCCUUCGGGUUGUGAACCUCUUUCGCCAGUGAAGCAGGCCUGCCUCGUUUGUGGGUGGGUUGACGGUAGCUGGAGAAGAAGCCCCGGCUAACUACGUG